AUUGAACGCUGGCGGCAGGCCUAACACAUGCAAGUCGAGCGAGCGGCGGACGGGUGAGUAAUGUAUGGGAAACUGCCCGAUGGAGGGGGAUAACUACUGGAAACGGUAGCUAAUACCGCAUACUAUCGGAUGUACCCAUAUGGGAUUAGCUGGUCGGUGGGGUAAUGGCUCACCUAGGCGACGAUCCCUAGCUGGUCUGAGAGGAUGAUCAGCCACACUGGAACUGAGACACGGUCCAGACUCCUACGGGAGGCAGCAGUGGGGAAUAUUGCACAAUGGGCGCAAGCCUGAUGCAGCCAGGCCGCGUGUAUGAAGAAGGCCUUCGGGUUGUAAAGCACUUUCAGCGGGGAGGCGUUACCGGCAGAAGAAGCACCGGCUAACUCCGUGCCAGCAGCCGCGGUAAUUC
This 406-nucleotide ribosomal RNA is filed under the name uncultured bacterium. RNAcentral describes it as "partial 16S ribosomal RNA". It matches the Rfam family "Bacterial small subunit ribosomal RNA", at positions 30 to 526 of the family's 1533-position model. The record is from RNAcentral.